AUGGCGCAGAUCUGGAGGCUAUGGCGCAGAUCUGGCGUCGGCCACACGCCACAUAAUCAAGCUCCUGAAUUUGGUUUUCUACAUUCAGUGCAGCUGUACUAUGUUUUAUUGAUAAAUAUGAUGAGAAUGUUAAGCAUAUUUUACUGGUUUGAUGAAAGAAGCAACAGAAGCGUAUUGAAAACCAAACGAAAUUGCAGUAUGGCUAAAAUAAGAAGGGAAUCGCGGAUUGGAGACUUGGAUGCGAUCAGAGCCUGUCGGGAUGUAUGCGUGUCUUCACUUUGUGACAUCAGGGGAUUGACAGACUAUCAUACAUAA
RNAcentral lists this ribosomal RNA (315 nucleotides) under Triticum aestivum (bread wheat). Its description in RNAcentral is "partial small subunit ribosomal RNA". Lineage: Eukaryota; Viridiplantae; Streptophyta; Magnoliopsida; Poales; Poaceae. The record is from RNAcentral.